Molecule: ribosomal RNA, 420 nt
Filed under: uncultured Syntrophaceae bacterium
Lineage: Bacteria; Pseudomonadati; Thermodesulfobacteriota; Syntrophia; Syntrophales; Syntrophaceae
Description: bacterial SSU rRNA
Rfam family: Bacterial small subunit ribosomal RNA
Source: RNAcentral
CGAAGAACCUUACCUGGGCUUGACAUCCCAAGAAUCCCCUGGAAACAGGGGAGUGCCCUUCGGGGAGCUUGGAGACAGGUGCUGCAUGGGCUGUCGUCAGCUCGUGUCGUGAGAUGUUGGGUUAAGUCCCGCAACGAGCGCAACCCUUGCCUUUAGUUGCCAUCAUUCAGUUGGGCACUCUAGAGGGACUGCCGGUGUCAAACCGGAGGAAGUGGGAUGACGUCAAGUCCUCAUGGCCUUUAUGCCCAGGGCUACACACGUGCUACAAUGGGCGGUACAAAGAGCAGCGAGCUCGCGAGAGUAAGCAAAUCUCGAAAAGCCGUCCUCAGUUCGGAUUGGAGUCUGCAACUCGACUCCAUGAAGUUGGAAUCGCUAGUAAUCGCGGAUCAGCAUGCCGCGGUGAAUACGUUCCCGGGCCUU